AGUUCCUGGUACAUUACUGGAAGAAGCCUUCAGGUACGAUGGCGAGGCAGCGUGCAGCAGAACUUCUCUAAUAACAUAGAAUAAUGUUUGUGAAAUGAAACGUGUGACUUUAAUGAACACUUUCCUUCAGAAAGGAUGUUCGCUUUAUAAACAGCUGUUUAUUUGUAUUAAGGAGUGAACUCUUCAUUCUUGAGGAAUGUUCAGAUUUGGCUUAAUAACGGUUGAAAGGAUCUUUUAGUUUCUCUUCACUUUGUUCAUCGGCACCUGAUUUAAAGCAUCAGUCAUCACUUUCACACUAAGUGACCAGCUUGUUAUUAAUUCAACGAGCAUCCAGGAAGCAGCGUGUAGCCGGUCCUGCUCUCUACAUCAUCCCAUCUGUUCUGACAAACGCAGCAGCAGCACUAGCAGCAGCACUAGCAGCACUAGCAGCAGCACUAGCAGCCUACAGCACUAACAGCAGCACUAGCAGCAGCACUAACAGCAGCACUAGCAGCAGCACUAACAGCAGCACUAGCAGCAGCACUAACAGCAGCACUAACAGCAGCACUAGCAGCAGCACUAACAGCAGCACUAACAGCAGCAGCACUAACAGCAGCACUAGCAGCAGCACUAACAGCAGCAGCACUAACAGCAGCAGCACUAACAGCAGCAGCACUAACAGCAGCAGCACUAACAGCAGCACUAACAGCAGCAGCAGCACUAACAGCAGCAGCACUAACAGCAGCAGCACUAACAGCAGCAGCACUAACAGCAGCAGCACUAACAGCAGCAGCAGCACUAACAGCAGCAGCACUAACAGCAGCAGCAGCACUAACAGCAGCAGCACUAACAGCAGCACUAACAGCAGCACUAACAGCAGCACUAACAGCAGCACUAACAGCAGCUCUAGCAGCAGCACUAACAGCAGCACUAACAGCAGCACUAACAGCAGCACUAACAGCAGCACUAACAGCAGCACUAGCAGCAGCACUAACAGCAGCACUAACAGCCAUUUGAAAGCAGCAUUAUUUUAACUUCCUGGUAAUAAAGAUGUUCCCUGUUGCUG
RNAcentral lists this long non-coding RNA (1045 nucleotides) under Cottoperca gobio. Its description in RNAcentral is "lncRNA (ENSCGOG00000016935.1)". Lineage: Eukaryota; Metazoa; Chordata; Actinopteri; Perciformes; Bovichtidae. The record is from RNAcentral.